CCUACGGGGGGCUGCAGUGGGGAAUCUUCCGCAAUGGACGAAAGUCUGACGGAGCAACGCCGCGUGAGUGAAGAAGGUUUUCGGAUCGUAAAGCUCUGUCUUUUGGGACGAAUGUGCGCUAUGUAAAUAAUGUAGUGUAAUGACGGUACCGAAGGAGGAAGCCACGGCUAACUACGUGCCAGCAGCCGCGGUAAUACGUAGGUGGCAAGCGUUGUCCGGAAUUAUUGGGCGUAAAGCGCGCGCAGGCGGAAUAAUAAGUCUGUCGUGAAAGUGCGGGGCUCAACCCCGUGAUUGCAAUGGAAACUGUUAUUCUUGAGUGCAGGAGAGGAAAGUGGAAUUCCUAGUGUAGCGGUGAAAUGCGUAGAUAUUAGGAGGAACACCAGUGGCGAAGGCGACUUUCUGGACUGUGUCUGACGCUGAGGCGCGAAAGCCAGGGUAGCGAACGGGAUUAGAUACCCCUGUAGUC
This 466-nucleotide ribosomal RNA is filed under the name uncultured Veillonellaceae bacterium. Its description in RNAcentral is "bacterial SSU rRNA". It matches the Rfam family "Bacterial small subunit ribosomal RNA", at positions 338 to 795 of the family's 1533-position model. The record is from RNAcentral. Lineage: Bacteria; Bacillati; Bacillota; Negativicutes; Veillonellales; Veillonellaceae.